This 102-nucleotide small nuclear RNA is filed under the name Hucho hucho (huchen). RNAcentral describes it as "Flavo-1 RNA (ENSHHUG00000014152.1)". It matches the Rfam family "Flavo-1 RNA". Lineage: Eukaryota; Metazoa; Chordata; Actinopteri; Salmoniformes; Salmonidae. The record is from RNAcentral.
AAAUAGCCCUGAUGGGAGCGGCAUCCUUUUUUUCUACACCUGACGGGUUUCAAAAACCCGUCAGGUUUAAGAAAAAAAGAUACAGUGUACAGCAGGAGGGAU